RNAcentral lists this ribosomal RNA (253 nucleotides) under uncultured bacterium. Its description in RNAcentral is "partial 16S ribosomal RNA". It matches the Rfam family "Bacterial small subunit ribosomal RNA", at positions 524 to 776 of the family's 1533-position model. The record is from RNAcentral.
UACGGAGGGUGCAAGCGUUGUCCGGAAUCACUGGGCGUAAAGGGCGCGUAGGCGGCUCAUGAAGGCUGUGGUGAAAGUCCGGGGCUCAACCUCGGAUCGGCCGUGGCGACUCGUGGGCUGGAGCACUGUAGAGGCGGGUGGAAUUCCGGGUGUAGCGGUGAAAUUCGUAGAUAUUCGCAAGAACACCAGUGGCGAAGGCGGCUCACUGGCCCGGAACUGACGCUGAGGUGCGAAAGCGUGGGGAGCAAACAGG